RNAcentral lists this ribosomal RNA (588 nucleotides) under uncultured yeast. Its description in RNAcentral is "eukaryotic LSU rRNA". It matches the Rfam family "Eukaryotic large subunit ribosomal RNA", at positions 38 to 667 of the family's 3401-position model. The record is from RNAcentral. Lineage: Eukaryota; Fungi.
GCAUAUCAAUAAGCGGAGGAAAAGAAACCAACCGGGAUUGCCUUAGUAACGGCGAGUGAAGCGGCAAAAGCUCAAAUUUGAAAUCUGGCGUCUUCGACGUCCGAGUUGUAAUUUGAAGAAGGCGACUUUGUAGCUGGUCCUUGUCUACGUUCCUUGGAACAGGACGUCAUAGAGGGUGAGAAUCCCGUGUGGCGAGGAUCCCAGUUAUUUGUAAAGUGCUUUCGACGAGUCGAGUUGUUUGGGAAUGCAGCUCUAAGUGGGUGGUAAAUUCCAUCUAAAGCUAAAUAUUGGCGAGAGACCGAUAGCGAACAAGUACAGUGAUGGAAAGAUGAAAAGAACUUUGAAAAGAGAGUGAAAAAGUACGUGAAAUUGUUGAAAGGGAAGGGCAUUUGAUCAGACAUGGCGUUUGCUUCGGCUUUCGCUGGGCCAGCAUCAGUUUUAGCGGUUGGAUAAAUCCUCGGGAAUGUGGCUCUGCUUCGGUAGAGUGUUAUAGCCCGUGGGAAUACAGCCAGCUGGGACUGAGGAUUGCGACUUUUGUCAAGGAUGCUGGCGUAAUGGUUAAAUGCCGCCCGUCUUGAAACACGGACC